Molecule: ribosomal RNA, 429 nt
Filed under: Pseudomonadota bacterium
Lineage: Bacteria; Pseudomonadati; Pseudomonadota
Description: Proteobacteria bacterium partial 16S ribosomal RNA
Rfam family: Bacterial small subunit ribosomal RNA
Source: RNAcentral
UGGGGAAUAUUGGACAAUGGGCGAAAGCCUGAUCCAGCCAUGCCGCGUGUGUGAAGAAGGUCUUCGGAUUGUAAAGCACUUUAAGUUGGGAGGAAGGGCAGUAAGCGAAUACCUUGCUGUUUUGACGUUACCGACAGAAUAAGCACCGGCUAACUCUGUGCCAGCAGCCGCGGUAAUACAGAGGGUGCAAGCGUUAAUCGGAAUUACUGGGCGUAAAGCGCGCGUAGGUGGUUCGUUAAGUUGAAUGUGAAAGCCCCGGGCUCAACCUGGGAACUGCAUCCAAAACUGGCGAGCUAGAGUAGGGCAGAGGGUGGUGGAAUUUCCUGUGUAGCGGUGAAAUGCGUAGAUAUAGGAAGGAACACCAGUGGCGAAGGCGACCACCUGGGCUCAUACUGACAAUGAGGUGCGAAAGCGUGGGGAGCAAACAGG